RNAcentral lists this ribosomal RNA (450 nucleotides) under uncultured prokaryote. RNAcentral's name for it is "bacterial SSU rRNA". It matches the Rfam family "Bacterial small subunit ribosomal RNA", at positions 355 to 796 of the family's 1533-position model. The record is from RNAcentral.
UCGGGAAUUUUGGGCAAUGGGGGCAACCCUGACCCAGCAACGCCGCGUGAGGGAUGAAGGCCUUCGGGUCGUAAACCUCUGUCGGGAGGGAAGAAAGCAUUGCGGUCGAAUAGGCCGUAGUGUCGACGGUACCUCCAAAGGAAGCACCGGCUAACUCCGUGCCAGCAGCCGCGGUAAUACGGAGGGUGCAAGCGUUGUUCGGAAUUACUGGGCGUAAAGCGCGUGUAGGCGGCUUGGCAAGUCGGGUGUGAAAUCCCGAGGCUCAACCUCGGAACUGCACUCGAAACUGCCUAGCUAGAGUCCCGGAGAGGGUGGCGGAAUUCCCAGUGUAGAGGUGAAAUUCGUAGAUAUUGGGAGGAACACCGGUGGCGAAGGCGGCCACCUGGACGGUGACUGACGCUGAGACGCGAAAGCGUGGGGAGCAAACAGGAUUAGAUACCCCCGUAGUCC